UUUAUAUCAGAUUGCAUUUCAUCUUUGUAUUAUUCCUCGCGUUGAAAGCUAGCUUAUUGUUACUUGUAAAUCAUUUUAAUGGUACGGUACUACAGACGAUAGCUAACUCACGCUCUUAUAGUUUAUUGAAUGCUAAUUUCCAUUUUAAUGGUUAGGGUCAUGAGAUCAUUCGCCAGUGACAUCAACCGAAUGCAGUUUGUAAACCAGAAUCCAAAUGAAUCAAAAGUUUUACUUGCAAAUGACGAAUGUCGUCCUAUAUUAGCCGGUUGUAGCCCACGUGUAAACUUAACGGAUUUUAACCGUAUGAAUAAUUUAAAACAGGAAAAUUUUUUAUAAAAAAAGAGAAAAAAAGAACAACAUUAUUGAUUUGUUAAUGGAAGUUUAAGUGAACCGAAGCAAAGCGCAAUUAGAGCAUUUGAUUACGAUCGUGUAUCCUACAGUACCUUGGCUUCGGAUAACAAAUUGAUACUUUUAUUCGGGAUGACGUUAGAAUAUUCGCAAU
RNAcentral lists this long non-coding RNA (502 nucleotides) under Androctonus crassicauda. Lineage: Eukaryota; Metazoa; Arthropoda; Arachnida; Scorpiones; Buthidae. The record is from RNAcentral.